CCUCAUGAUUGGCCUUAGAAAAGAGGCUCCAGAGAGAUCACUAGGCCCUUCACCACGUGAGGACACUGCAAGAAGGUCCCAUCUAUGAACCAGGAAAAAGACUCUCACCAGAACGCCACCAUGCUGGUGACUUGAUCUUGGACUUCCAGACUCCAGAACGAUGCCAGAAAACCUGAGUAGUAAAUUCGCCCUGCCCACCUCCCGGAAUGGCUGCCAGGAUCAAACGGGAUAUUGCCUAAGAAAGCACUCUGUAAACGAUGUGGUGGCAGGAGCUGGACCAGUCACCUUGAACUCCAGCACAUGUGUUGAAGAUGGCAGAGUGGCUUUACUUUCCUUAUUCUGGCAACCUCUGGACCAUUACUUGAGAG
RNAcentral lists this long non-coding RNA (368 nucleotides) under Equus caballus (horse). RNAcentral describes it as "lncRNA (ENSECAG00000046279.1)". Lineage: Eukaryota; Metazoa; Chordata; Mammalia; Perissodactyla; Equidae. The record is from RNAcentral.